UCUGGGAAAUGGUGCUAAAAUUCAAAGAUAUCAGAGGCGCAAGCUUUGCUGAGUUGUUUUUGGUAUUGCACGUCAGACUGAUCCCCAA
This is a small nucleolar RNA of Neltuma alba, 88 nucleotides long. RefSeq annotates it as small nucleolar RNA Z122. The record is from RefSeq and is a predicted model, not a curated record. The transcript has a single exon. Lineage: Eukaryota; Viridiplantae; Streptophyta; Magnoliopsida; Fabales; Fabaceae.